This 210-nucleotide unclassified non-coding RNA is filed under the name Hevea brasiliensis (rubber tree). The record is from RNAcentral. Lineage: Eukaryota; Viridiplantae; Streptophyta; Magnoliopsida; Malpighiales; Euphorbiaceae.
CCGCCGCCACAACCACCAGUAGCUCCAGCUCCACCAGCUUUGUCUCAGCCAGCUGGUGUAAUAUCUUCUGCGGUUUCACCGACUCAUGGUCCAGACUUGCCAGAUAAUCCCACUCCAAUUAUAGAAGAAGCACGGGCACGGGCACCGGCACCGGCACCAACACUGGCACCAGCACUGGCAGGUUUAAAUGGAAGCUGUAGCAGUAGCACC